Molecule: long non-coding RNA, 637 nt
Filed under: Fukomys damarensis (Damara mole-rat)
Lineage: Eukaryota; Metazoa; Chordata; Mammalia; Rodentia; Bathyergidae
Description: lncRNA (ENSFDAG00000024795.1)
Source: RNAcentral
GGGAUCUGCGGCCUCAGGGUGUGUCCCGCCUCUCCGACCCGCUGAGUCCCCGGGUCCCGGGUGUGUAGCCUCGGGAGAAGCGUGUUGUCCAGGCGGCACUGGCUGCACCCCUACUCUGUGCUAGCCAUGGGUUAAGUACACAUAGGUGAUGGGAACCCGAGGUCUUGUUCUAAGUUGGAGUGAUGUGACUUAAAUGAGAUGAUUAGACAGUAGAUGAUUUGGAAGCGGAAAACGUGUAUCACACCAGUAGCAAGACAAUUACAAUGGCCGCAAGAAGACCCAGUGACAGCUUAACCUAGAAGAAUGAAACAGGAAUGGAGAAGUAAAGUCAAAUCGAUGUGGUUUAUGCCAGUUCCUCUCUCCCAGGAGACAGCCCCGCACCACACAACAUUUCGCUCAGCGGUGCGGCUGAGCACUGACAAACUCAAUCUGUGGAAGGUGAGUGCGCGUUGACACCACGCGGUGGCAGUUGUCCUGAUGGGAGCAGACGUCUCAUUUCAUUCCGCGGCCAGCCCACCUUCUCCAGAAGCCUGCUGGGCUCCUGGGGAGGAGCGUGGAAGGCUGAUUCAAAGCCGUAGAACUUCAGGAGCUGGAGAGAGCACCUAGGGAUGGGAGGGGAGGCGAAUGAAAAAGGGAG